GACGAACGCUGGCGGCGUUCUUAACACAUGCAAGUCGAACGGAAAGGCCCUGCUUGCCGGGUACUCGAGUGGCGAACGGGUGAGUAACACGUGGGUGAUCUGCCCUGCACUUCGGGAUAAGCCUGGGAAACUGGGUCUAAUACCGGAUAGGAGCCAUUUUUAGUGUGAUGGUUGGAAAGUUUUUUCGGUGUAGGAUGAGCUCGCGGCCUAUCAGCUUGUUGGUGGGGUAAUGGCCUACCAAGGCGGCGACGGGUAGCCGGCCUGAGAGGGUGGACGGCCACAUUGGGACUGAGAUACGGCCCAGACUCCUACGGGAGGCAGCAGUGGGGAAUAUUGCACAAUGGGCGCAAGCCUGAUGCAGCGACGCCGCGUGGGGGAUGACGGCCUUCGGGUUGUAAACUCCUUUCGCUAGGGACGAAGCUUUUUGUGACGGUACCUAGAUAAGAAGCACCGGCUAACUACGUG
Molecule: ribosomal RNA, 465 nt
Filed under: uncultured bacterium
Lineage: Bacteria
Description: partial 16S ribosomal RNA
Rfam family: Bacterial small subunit ribosomal RNA
Source: RNAcentral